This 7044-nucleotide long non-coding RNA is filed under the name Zea mays. Its description in RNAcentral is "long non-coding RNA (ZMAY_LNC000877)". The record is from RNAcentral. Lineage: Eukaryota; Viridiplantae; Streptophyta; Magnoliopsida; Poales; Poaceae.
CGCCAUAACCAGGGUUGGGAGCUAGCGCAACCUUGCAUGGAUGAUUACGCUGAAGCACAGCGAUGAGUAGGAGAGAGAGAAUAGAGCCGCUGCGACCACGCCUCGCGUUCACCAUCGCCCAGCCUCUCGAUCGCUGGGGAAUCGGGCGAGAUCACCAAGUCGUGCAGAUCGUGCGUGUGGUCAGCAGAGCAAGGAAGUUGGCGGGGGAGACGAAUUGCUUGCCGGUGCUUGGCCGAAUCCUCACCGGGAAUCCUCGGGCGGCACUACAGCGUCGACCGGCCGCAUCGACGUCUUCUCGAGUGGUGAGACCCUACUAAAUUACUCGCCGUAGCAUCCGCAUAGAUGAUCCCCAUUCAAUUUCCGAAUUUAGACCUAGAAAUCGGCAGGGUUGGUUCGCCACCAAUGGCGACAUCGUGCCUUCGCGUUCUGUCGCCGGUCGGGCGCCGUGGUGAGAGAGAGAGGAUUGGGGGGGAGAAAAAUGAAGGGCUUGGGCUGUUGGAUCAUACACGGAUGGCACCGAUCUAAGCGCGCAUACCCCUUCGCUCAAUAGGAUUUGGGCCGUAGAUCUGAGAUCAAGCGAUCAGGAUUUGAUCAUAGUCAUUCUUAAUCUGGACUGACGAUCUUUAAUCCGGUGGUCCUCAUGGCUUACCGGUUCAUUUUUAAUGAAGUCUAAUCCUGGCCGCGGAAUUUAGAUCUGACGGCUGAAGUCAGCCCGUACCCCUUCGGCCGGGGAUAAUUGCACGUGAGCCCUCAUAAAACUAUCAAAUAAACCCGCCGUCCACUCACGUGGAAAACUAAUUAAAUCUAGGUCCUGAGUUUCACAGUUUAGACCCUGUGUUUUCUAGAAAUUGUGUUCGCAGGCCAGAAUUAAUAGGGAUAUUCAUAAUUAAAUCAGAAAAUGAUUUUUUUAUAAAAAUAAAUCUAGGAACUUGUUUAAUUCAUAGUUAAUUCAUUUUAGCUCCGGAUUGAGUUAUUCCAGUUGCAAUAAUUUUGUUUUAAUAUUAUCUAUCAUCUAGUGCUUCUGUUUAGCCAUAAAACUUGAAUUAAAAAUGUUCAUUUGAAUUAAUCUAUUCUAGGUGCUUAACAACUCCAGAAAUUCAUAACUUGUUAACCGUAACUCCGAAUUUAGUAAUUCUUGUUCCUAUGAUCUCGUUACGCAGCUUAGAAUAUUAUUAUGUAGUUUGAUCUUAUAUUUGGUGUGAUGUUAAUUUUGCAUAUACAUGUUUGUCUGUAUUACUACGUUUAGCAGUGAGGACACGAGUUACCUGAAGAUCAUCCUGGUACCUGGAAUCUCAAGUCCCAGGCAAGUUGUGCCCUUGAUCACUUCUUUUUACCCAGUCAUGUUCUGAUUAAUCAUAAUGAUCUGCAUAUGUUAAUUUUGAUGGGACCCAAUAGGUUACCCUAGUUUGAUUAUCUUUAUACCUUGAUUACCACUGGACUUUUUGGGUAGUACCUGCUAUUGCUUUAUGUGGUUUUGGGUAUGAAGAUUACAUUAUUCAUGAUUACACUUUUGUUAUUAGUUGUUAUUUACUAUUCAUGAUAAGAUCAUUAUGUUAAUUGGAACAUGGAGAACCACCCGGGAAAACAGUGCUACCACAAGGGUUUAUGGACGCCCUUGGCUGAUUAACUAGGAAAGCUAGUGGAGGUCUUCCUUACCCGAAAGGGGCAAGGGCAGUAGGGGAGUGGUCAGUGUAGGGAGGUCCUUGGUUGAUUUUGCUGCGAUGGCGGUCAGGCAAGAACCCUGCAUUGGAGCUUCCUAUAAACUGUAGCGGGAUUUCUGAAGCUAGUGGAACUUUGUAAAGGCCUCGUAGUGUUACCCUGCCUCGCCUCCUCGGUAGAGGUGUAUGGGAUUGGCCGUCUCUUGGCAGAUGGGUAACAUGACUUGUGCGUAAAGAUGUGCAACCUCUACGGAGUGUAAAACUGGUAUACUAGCCGUGCUCACGGUCAUGAGCGGCUCGGACACUCACAUGAUUAAAUUAUGGAACUUAAACUCAAUUUGUCAUAUGCAUUGCAUCGCAGGUGAGGUUGUUACUUUUGUUCUACUAAAUUGGGAUGGUAUUUACUUAUACUUAGUAAUUGCUAAUAAAAUUUUGACCAACUUUAAAAGCAAUGCUCAGCUCUAACCAUCCUCUUUGGUAAGCUUACACUUCACGUGAGCUCCCACCUUUGGCGAGUUCAUGCACAUUAUUCCCCACAACUUGUUGAGCGAUGAACGUAUGUGAGCUCACUCUUGCUGUCUCACACCCCCCACAGGUCAAGAACAGGUACCACAGGAUGAGGCGCUUGGAGGAUGCUGUGACGAGUUCGUGAGAGGUCUAGGUCGUCGUCUCCCAGUCAACUUUGGGUUGCUGGACCGUUGUCUCCAUAUAAUGUAUUUAUUUAUUUAUUUUGUACAAAACUCCGAUUAUAUAGUAAAGAUGUGACAUUCGAUCCUGUGCCAUGAUUCAUCAUAUGUGUGAGACUUGGUCCCAGCACACCUGGUGAUUAUGUUCGCGCCCGGGUCUUGGUGCCCCGAAACCCGGGUGUGACAGAAGUGGUAUCAGAGGAAUGUUGACUGUAGGACGUAACCUAGAUAGAACUGGACAACCAUUGUCUACUUACCUUUGCUACUCUGAUUCUUUUCUAAACUUAUCUUAAUCUUUUCUCAUCCAUUUCCGCUUUACUCUGAUUAUUCUUACCUUUUUCUUCUAAAGACAAAUGUGGAUUUCACACUCUGAAAUCCUGUACCUAAAGUGACUUUUAGGAAUAGGAGACUUAAUCUUAGGAACAAAAAAACAAAACUAUUUUUUUAUCUAUACGCUUGAAUGUUUGUUCUUAUGAUAUUUGUCUGAUUUGGAUCUUUGAUUGAGUGUGAUGGGUUGUGGAGUAAUGUCCACAAUUACAUCUGCAUAUACAUAUAGGGAAAAAUGCUUAUAAAAAUAACUAGAUAAACUAGAUUAUCCCUCAUUAAAGGAUCUAGCCAAACAAUAUCCAUCUCAUCUUAAAAGAUUCUAUCCUACACUCGUAGAUCCAUCUUAUCUUAAGAAGAUACUCAUCUUAUCUUGAAAAGAUUUUAUGUCAUGCUAAUAGAUCUAACUGAUCUCAAAUGAUUCUAUCUUAUCUUUAUGGAUCCAUCUUAUCCUAACAAGCAUACUUACCCACCCUAGUUUAACAACCAUGAUCUAAUGCAAAUUAAUUAGAUCUUAUCUAGUCAAACUAGUCAUACCAAUCUAAUCUAGAUCCCAUCUAAUCUAAUAUGAUCUAAUCUAAUGUGGUCUAUUUAAACAGAUUAGUGAUACUGGUAGAAGAGAUUAAACCCUACUAGCCAGGUAUUAACUUAACUUCGCACAUUAGACCAACUCAACCAUGGGCAUAAGAUCUAACCUAGCCAAUAGAGUCUUGAUGGAUUGCAUAAUCUAUCUAUCUCCACCUAACCUCAAACAAACUUUUGACCUACAUCAAUCUCACCCAUAUCUAUCUUAACCAUACCCUGGUAACUCCGAUGAUAAACGCUGACCCCGACUCAAUGAGACCAAGACCAGAAAAGAACAAGAUCAACCUCGUCAAGGAAGGAGAGAAGUCAAACUCGAUCUUCAGAUGCAUUACCACCCAACAAGGAGUCCUUUCUCACCAUAAACUGUCUUACCCCUAGCUAUUGUUUCCCUAACCUAUCCAUCUCUUAUAUCCUACAUAAUAGGUGGCUAGAAACCCAUGCUUUCCUAAAUACCUAUUUAUUUGUAUAAAAAAAACUUUUCAAUAUUGAACUAAAAGACAAUUACAAACAAAACUUUCUACACCUCUUUCUUACAAAUCUCGAGGACGAGAUUUUUGUUAAGGGGGGUAGGAUUUGUAAAGCCCUAAAAUUGCGUAAGAUAAAAAAAUGAUAAAAUAAAUAAAUACAUAUAUAAAAUUGUUUUGGGAACACAGAACCUUGGGAGACUAUCAAUUUAUUUAUCAAUAGGUUAUACCCUUCAUGAACAAUAUAAAUAGAAACCAUCUUUUAAUCAAGCUAAUAGUAAUUAAUGAUAAAGUUUGGACAUUACUUCCUCUAAAAUAAGUAGUAAAUAUGCACUUUUGAAUCGACCUUUAAUUUUACAACACCUUCAAAUAAUAUUUUUCUAAAAGAAAGAUAGCGUGUGUACUUCAUAUUUGAAACAAUUGUCUAAUUAAUAAAUAAAACAAUAAAUGUAAAUAUAUAUCUACAUAUAUUUGCAUUCAUGCGGGAGUUUGAUUGUGCAUUUUUAAGUAUGUGUCAAAUCCAAAACUAAUUUUGAAUUCUAUUCGAAUUUGGAAUUGUAAGUUAAGAAAAUGAUAAAAAUAUAGAUGAAGAGAGAACAAACCGGUUUGACCCAAUCUCACUCACGUGGCCUACAUUCUCUUCUCUCUCCCCAUAACCCGUCUUGUUUCUUUCCAUUUAUAAUUCUUGUACAAACUACUGGUAACUGCCGGGGACGUAUGUUCCUUCCAUGUCAGACACCGACAUGUGGGGCACCCUGCAUACGAGCACGAACGCUGAACCAUCCCAGAAAAAUCGUCGGUGCCUGUAACAACCGCGUAACAACCGGGCAUGAGCCGACAGAUGGCGUUACAGGUUUAUAAAACCCGAUCCCCAUGUGCCUUCCGCCAUAACCAGGCUUGGGAGCUAGCGCAACCUUGCAUGGAUGAUUACGCUGAAGCACAGCGACGAGUAGGAGAGAGAGAAUAGAGCCGCUACGACCACGCCUCGCGUUCACCAUCGCCCAGCCUCUCGAUCGCUGGGGAAUCGGGCGAGAUCACCAAGUCGUGCAGAACGUGCGUGUGGUCAGCAGAGCAAGGAAGUUGGCGGGGGAGACGAAUUGCUUGCCGGUGCUUGGCCGAAUCCUCACCGGGAAUCCUCGGGCGGCACUGCAGCGUCGACCGGCCGCAUCGACGUCUUCUCGAGUGGUGAGACCCUACUAAAUUACUCGCCGUAGCAUCCGCAUAGAUGAUCCCCAUUCAAUUUCCGAAUUUAGACAUAGAAAUCGGCAGGGUUGGUUCGCCACCAAUGGCGACGUCGUGCCUUCGUGUUCUGUCGCCGGUCGGGCGCCGUGGUGAGAGAGAGAGAGGAUUGGGGGGGAGAAAAAUGAAGGGCUUGGGCUGUUGGAUCAUACACGGACGGCGCCGAUCUAACCGCGCAUACCCCUUCGCUCAAUAGGAUUUGGGCCGUAGAUCUGAGAUCAAGCGAUCAGGAUUUGAUCAUAGUCAUUCUUAAUCUGGACUGACGAUCUUUAAUCCGGUGGUCCUCAUGGCUGACCGGAUCAUUUUUAAUGAAGUCUAAUCCUGGCCGCGGAAUUUAGAUCUGACGGCUGAAGUCAGCCCGUACCCCUUCGGCCGGGGAUAAUUGCACGUGAGCCCUCAUAAAACUAUCAAAUAAACCCGUCGUCCACUCACGUGGAAAACUAAUUAAAUCUAGGUCCUGAGUUUCACAGUUUAGACCCUGUGUUUUCUAGAAAUUGUGUUCGCAGGCCAGAAUUAAUAGGGAUAUUCAUAAUUAAAUCAGAAAAUGAUUUUUUUAUAAAAAUAAAUCUAGGAACUUGUUUAAUUCAUAGUUAAUUCAUUUUAGCUCCAGAUUGAGUUAUUCCAGUUGCAAUAAUUUUGUUUUAAUAUUAUCUAUCAUCUAGUGCUUCUGUUUAGCCAUAAAACUUGAAUUAAAAAUGUUCAUUUGAAUUAAUCUAUUCUAGGUGCUUAACAACUCCAGAAAUUCAUAACUUGUUAACCGUAACUUCGAAUUUAGUAAUUCUUGUUCCUAUGAUCUCGUUAUGCAGCUUAGAAUAUUAUUAUGUAGUUUGAUCUUAUAUUUGGUGUGAUGUUAAUUUUGCAUAUACAUGUUUGUCUGUAUUGCUACGUUUAGCAGUGAGGACACGAGUUACCUGAAGAUCAUCUUGGUACCUGGAAUCUCAAGUCCCAGGCAAGUUGUGCCCUUGAUCACUUCUUUUUACCCAGUCAUGUUCUGAUUAAUCAUAAUGAUCUGCAUAGGUUAAUUUUGAUGGGACCCAAUAGGUUACCCUAGUUUGAUUAUCUUUAUACCUUGAUUACCACUGACUUUUUGGGUAGCACCUGCUAUUGCUUUAUGUGGUUUUGGGUAUGAAGAUUACAUUAUUCAUGAUUACACUUUUGUUAUUAGUUGUUAUUUACUAUUCAUGAUAAGAUCAUUAUGUUAAUUGGAACAUGGAGAACCACCCGGGAAAACAGUGCUACCACAAGUGUUUAUGGACGCCCUUGGCUGAUUAACUAGGAAAGCUAGUGGAGGUCUUCCUUACCCGAAAGGGGCAAGGGCAGUAGGGGAGUGGUCACUGUAGGGAGGUCCUUGGUUGAUUUUGCUGCGAUGGCGGUCAGGCAAGAACCCUGCAUUGGAGCUUCCUAUAAACUGUAGCGGGAUUUCUGAAGCUAGUGGAACUUUGUAAAGGCCUCGUAGUGUUACCCUGCCUCGCCUCCUCGGUAGAGGUGUAUGGGAUUGGCCGUCUCUUGGCAGAUGGGUAACAUGACUUGUGGGUAAAGAUGUGCAACCUCUGCAGAGUGUAAAACUGGUAUACUAGCCGUGCUCACGGUCAUGAGCGGCUCGGACACUCACAUGAUUAAAUUAUGGAACUUAAACUCAAUUUGUCAUAUGCAUUGCAUCGCAGGUGAGGUUGUUACUUUUGUUCUACUAAAUUGGGCUGGUAUUUACUUAUACUUAGUAAUUGCUAAUAAAAUUUUGACCAACUUUAAAAGCAAUGCUCAGCUCUAACCAUCAUCUUUGGUAAGCCUUACACUUCACGUGAGCUCCCACCUUUGGCGAGUUCAUGCACAUUAUUCCCCACAACUUGUUGAGCGAUGAACGUAUGUGAGCUCACUCUUGCUGUCUCACACCCCCCCCACAGGUCAAGAAUAGGUACCAUAGGAUGAGGCGCUUGGAGGAUGCUGUGACGAGUUCGUGAGAGGUCUAGGUCGUCGUCUCCCAGUCAACUUUGGGUUGCCGGACCGUUGUCUCCAUAUAAUGUAUUUAUUUAUUUAUUUUGUACAAAACUCCAAUUAUAUAGUAAAGAUGUGACAUUCGAUCAUGUGCCA